Long non-coding RNA from Cyprinodon tularosa, 633 nucleotides. RefSeq lists it as uncharacterized. The record is from RefSeq and is a predicted model, not a curated record. NCBI's taxonomy places the organism in Eukaryota, Metazoa, Chordata, Actinopteri, Cyprinodontiformes, Cyprinodontidae. The transcript has 3 exons.
CUUCUCUGUUUUUGAAAAAAAAACCCGCCUUGACACUCCACCGCUGCUUAAUUUACUCUGAUGCCUUCACCAUAGAUCACUUUAGCUUCUUACAACUCGAUUUACAACUCAUAACCUGGUGGACAUUCCCUAUAUGCUCUCUCAAAUCAUCUACUCAUCGGUCAGGUUUUUUUGUUGUGUGCUGUUCCUUUGACUGUCCAUUGGGUGACGAGCUACCAGAGAACCACCUAUACAGUGUGGUAGGAAAAAGUUCUCACAAACCUGGAUCCUCUGAUUUUGUUUUCCCAAUGGACCUCAUGAACUGUGAACCUUUAACUAAUUGAACUGAAGAGUUAAAUUUUUUUUUUUUUUGCUCUUUUGAAUUAUCCUGUUGGAAUAUAUUUGUUUUUUUUUUUUUUUUUUUUUCUUUGAAAUUAUAUUGAUUAUCACAUUUGUGUGUAUAUUCUAUUAAUUCAUAUCCAUAUAAAUUAUAUAAUAUAGCUCAUUAACAUGUAUAUGUAACCCAUACUCUUUCUAUUAGAAAAUAAAUAUACAACUAUUAAUCAUAAUUUUCUUUCUUGUGCUUAUUCACACCCCUUGACUCUUCAGCCGAAUCUACUUCUGAGCUCAUUUUGCAGUCAGCCAAGCCCAAGU